Molecule: unclassified non-coding RNA, 226 nt
Filed under: uncultured fungus
Lineage: Eukaryota; Fungi
Description: sequence contains ITS1
Source: RNAcentral
AAGAAUUUGAAUGAGAUGCAAUUGAAUAUCUUGGAUAUUUGGGGUUAAACGCUUCAAAUUCCUUGGUUUCAUUGCAUUUCUUUAAUAUUCAUACACACACUAACAUGGGAAACCGUGUAAGUGUUACUAUUUAGAAUCAUUUUUUGUAUAACAUUAGUCUUUAUCUUUUUUUUGUUUUUCUCGAGUUUUUCAAUGAACUUGAUUAAAAUCAAAAUAAAAUAAAUAA